GCCAGACUCCUACGGGAGGCAGCAGUGAGGAAUAUUGGUCAAUGGGAGAGAUCCUGAACCAGCCAAGCCGCGUGAGGGAAGACGGCCCUAUGGGUUGUAAACCUCUUUUGUCGGAGAACAAAACCCGGGACGAGUCCCGGACUGCGUGUAUCCGAAGAAAAAGCAUCGGCUAACUCCGUGCCAGCAGCCGCGGUAAUGCGGAUGAUGCGAGCGUUAUCCGGAUUUAUUGGGUUUAAAGGGUGCGUAGGCGGAAUGCCAAGUCAGGGGUAAAAUCGCGGGGCUCAACCUCGCUCCGCCGUUGAAACUGGCGUUCUUGAGUGGGCGAGAAGUAUGCGGAAUGCGUGGUGUAGCGGUGAAAUGCAUAGAUAUCACGCAGAACUCCGAUUGCGAAGGCAGCAUACCGGCGCCCAACUGACGCUGAAGCACGAAAGCGUGGGUAUCGAACAGGAUUAGAUACCCUAGUA
RNAcentral lists this ribosomal RNA (464 nucleotides) under uncultured bacterium. Its description in RNAcentral is "bacterial SSU rRNA". It matches the Rfam family "Bacterial small subunit ribosomal RNA", at positions 330 to 792 of the family's 1533-position model. The record is from RNAcentral.